RNAcentral lists this non-coding RNA (28 nucleotides) under Homo sapiens (human). Lineage: Eukaryota; Metazoa; Chordata; Mammalia; Primates; Hominidae. The record is from RNAcentral.
GAGACUAGGAACGAACCGCCCUUGCCUA